Molecule: long non-coding RNA, 338 nt
Filed under: Carassius auratus (goldfish)
Lineage: Eukaryota; Metazoa; Chordata; Actinopteri; Cypriniformes; Cyprinidae
Description: lncRNA (ENSCARG00000054470.1)
Source: RNAcentral
CUUAUCUUAAUAGUGAGAGUGUCGUUCUGAAGAAAUGCUGGUCCAAGUCGAGUGUAAAGGGAACCCGAAAUGGAUCCGAAUACCAGAGAAAACGACUGUUUUGACUUCUGUGGAUUCAUUAAAGAAGCUUCAGCAAAGUUCAACUUGCCGCAUGGAGCCAAUGUGGUUCUUAAAGACUCUGCAGGAGUUGAUGUUGAUGCUGAUAUUUUUGAUGAGCUUGUGAGAACAUCUAAGGUGUCCUUCAAAAUUUUGGAUGGUGAUAACAAUAAAUCGGAUAAUGUUCCACAAGCUGAGACCAAUCUCUCUGAGCCCUCAUGCCCUGAGUCAUCGUUUUCAUC